CCAAAGGCUCUUUUCAGAGCUACCCCCCCCCAAAAAAAACCAAAG
Molecule: non-coding RNA, 45 nt
Organism: Otolemur garnettii (small-eared galago)
Lineage: Eukaryota; Metazoa; Chordata; Mammalia; Primates; Galagidae
Source: Rfam